Long non-coding RNA from Hippocampus zosterae (dwarf seahorse), 1451 nucleotides. RefSeq lists it as uncharacterized. The transcript has 3 exons. NCBI's taxonomy places the organism in Eukaryota, Metazoa, Chordata, Actinopteri, Syngnathiformes, Syngnathidae. The record is from RefSeq and is a predicted model, not a curated record.
AUUCCUACUUUAAUUCUGAGAAUUCUGAGAUUAAAGUCAGAAUUCUGACUUUGUGACGUUCGUAGAGCUAUGAAUUGUGGGGGGGACCGUCAGCGUGUGGCGUGACUUGAAAGAAAGGACAUCAUGUCGUCACCCAGCGACUUUUUGCGUGGCCGAGGAGUGUCGGAGGACAUCCUUUCACUUUUGGAGGAGCAGAGGGUGAGUAAACAGUGCGUCGUGUUUGUUUCAUUUGGAGUUAACGUGCUCCAUGAAGCUUGUAGCUCCGUUGCUAGUCCGAAUGUCACGAAUGGAUGCACCCAGUUUACAUUCGUGAAUAAGUAGAACGUAACCAAUUUAAAUGGGUACGUUCCUGUGACGCCACACAACGUUGUUAAAAACAACACCACUCUCGACAUCGAACCUCUUUGUGUGGAUGACAGUGGCCGUCUGGAGCAUUGUUGCAGCCUAAUUGCCGUGAACUGAACACACCUGUGGUCGUGUCGUAGCAAGUACUGUAGUGACGUGCCGCAAUUCAAGGCUACAUCAUUUGAAAUUGACAGUGAUGUCGUAGCACUGAUUGACGAUGCCACCCUUGCCAAUUAUGUCCCAUGGUAUGGAGACCGUAUAGCACUCUUCAAUUUUUGCAAGACUCAACAGCUCCCAUCCAAAAGAAAAAAUUGACUUGGAAAAAUUACGUGAAAAAAUGAAAAUCGGGAAAGAAGACACUUCCUCAAAGACACAACAAGCAAGACAGACGAAGAGGCAGAAAACAACGAGAAAUGUUGCAAUUGGAUGGAUACACAAUGAUGGAAAAAUAACCAAACAGAUAUUUCCUAAUGGCUGUGAGGCACGUCGGCCUCACAGUGCAGAGGUGCAGGAUUCGAAUCCGGUUCCGGCCUUCCUGUGUGGAGUCUCCGGCUUCUCCGCAUCCUCCCACAUUCCAAAAACAUGCGGGGCAGGUUAAUGGAACACUCCAAAUAAUUGUCCGUGAUAGUGAGGGCAGAUGGUUGUUCGUCUGUGUGCACUGCGAUUUGCUGGCAAACGGUUCAGGGUGUCCCCCCCCUACUGCCCAACAACUGCUGGGACAGGCUGCGCAGCAUAUCUCGUGACCCUUGUGAGGAUGAAGCGGAUCAGAAAAAGUGUGGCGAUGUUUUCUAUCAAUAUUAACAAUAAGACAUCCAUCCACUUUUGACCCACAUAUCCUCCAGGGUCACGGGACAUGCUGGAGCCAUGGCACUGUUGUUUAAUAUAAAGGUUUCAGAAAGGGCAAGUCCGUGUACUUCCAGCCUACUACUGAAAAGAGUGCAAUCUAGAGAAGUCAAAAAACAACAACUGGUUUAUGGAGCAAAUUUGAAGCUUCAUUUUCCCAAAAUUGCAUCAGUAUAUACUGUAUGUCUAAUAGACUUCAGUAAUUCCUCUCUCAACUUAACAUACAAGUCACUUGCAUCCAAUGGAUCUGAUGGCGCGUGCCA